CUCAUAUUUAAAUAAAUAUUAAAUAAUUAAUUUGUAAAACAUAGAAGUUAUAAGAAUAACAUAAAUUAUCAUAAUAUUCAAUUUUUUUAAACAUAACUCCUUAUGACCUAAACCCUGUUAAUAACAAUGCAUGAACCCUUAGUCAGCCUGUUCAAAACUCUAGUCUUCACAUGAGGGGAAAAAAAUUCAAAACCAUAACAAUUACUCCUUUCAAUGCAUUUUUUUUUUUUUAUCAAAGCAUGCCCUGUACAAUUAUUCUCGUCAGUACACCAGUGGAUAUUCCACUGAUAUCAAAUCAUGCCUUCUGCAAUUAUCCUGAUCUCUGGAAAAUGAACCUACUUUUACCAUUAUUUCCCAUUCAAUCACUUCCAAAAAUGGCUCUCCUAUUUGACAAAGUCAACAUCUCUCCUCCAGCCUAAACACAGAAACAUAAAUAGAAACAGAGAUCUUGAGGGGCCAAGCCCAAACAAAUCUUUAGCCACCAGGUAAUUUAUUGCUCCAUAAAUGAAAUAAAGACAGCUGCAAGACCUUUUGUGUGGUGUGCACCCUAUGUUGUAUAAGCUGUUUUCCCAAUCAUUCUUAUUAAGACAUGGAGACACAGAUGGUAUUUAUCUAUAAUCUGCACCAACUGCUUCAAGGAUAGACUUGAAA
This 651-nucleotide unclassified non-coding RNA is filed under the name Hevea brasiliensis (rubber tree). Lineage: Eukaryota; Viridiplantae; Streptophyta; Magnoliopsida; Malpighiales; Euphorbiaceae. The record is from RNAcentral.